Molecule: unclassified non-coding RNA, 344 nt
Filed under: soil metagenome
Description: partial contains 5.8S ribosomal RNA, internal transcribed spacer 2, and large subunit ribosomal RNA
Rfam family: 5.8S ribosomal RNA (bases 1-120)
Source: RNAcentral
GAUGAAGAACGUAGCGAAAUGCGAUAAGUAAUGUGAAUUGCAGAAUUCAGUUAAUCAUCGAAUCUUUGAACGCACAUUGCGCCCGCCAGUAUUCUGGCGGGCAUGCCUGUUCGAGCGUCAUUUCAACCCUCAAGCCCCCGGGCUUGGUGUUGGGGAUCGGCGUGCCCUCGCGGCGCGCCGUCCCCUAAAUCUAGUGGCGGUCUCGCUGUAGCUUCCUCUGCGUAGUAGCAACACUCGCACUGGAUCGCAGCGCGGCCACGCCGUUAAACCCCCCACUUCUGAAAGUUUGACCUCGGAUCAGGUAGGAAUACCCGCUGAACUUAAGCAUAUCAAUAAGCGGAGGA